This 436-nucleotide unclassified non-coding RNA is filed under the name Hevea brasiliensis (rubber tree). Lineage: Eukaryota; Viridiplantae; Streptophyta; Magnoliopsida; Malpighiales; Euphorbiaceae. The record is from RNAcentral.
GAUGGAAAUUUCAUUGCUACUGGGGGACGUGUUCUUGGAGUCACAGCAAAAGGAAAGGAUCUUGAAGAGGCUCGGGAUAGAGCUUAUCAAGCCGUUGAACAAAUUAAUUGGGCCUGUGGUUUUUAUAGACGGGAUAUUGGUUGGAGAGCACUGCCUCAAAAACAAUAUUCUUAAGGUGAGCUCCUACAAUCAUCCGUUCCAUUGGGACUGCAGCACGACAUGGCUAUCAGCUUUGGCAUGAUGUUUACGAAGAGACUGAAGCAUGGCAUGGCUCUUUGAGAAACCACGUAACACUAGGUGUGAGGAAAAGGUCCAGGAAUAGAUAGAAAGUCUUGAAUUGACUGUAGAACUUUCUAACAAGGUGAUUGAUUCUAUAUUGCCUAAUGAAAGCUGUUGUAUCGUUAUUUUUUUCUUCUUGUUCCCCCUGCAGUUUAAA